UGGGGAAUAUUGGACAAUGGGCGCAAGCCUGAUCCAGCAAUGCCGCGUGUGUGAAGAAGGCCUUCGGGUUGUAAAGCACUUUUAUCAGGAGCGAAACGCUGUCGGCUAAUACCCGGCGGAACUGACGGUACCUGAGGAAUAAGCACCGGCUAACUUCGUGCCAGCAGCCGCGGUAAUACGAAGGGUGCAAGCGUUAAUCGGAAUUACUGGGCGUAAAGCGUGCGUAGGCGGUUUCUUAAGUCUGCUGUGAAAAUCCCCGGGCUCAACCUGGGAAUGGCAGUGGAUACUGGGAGGCUAGAGUGUGUCAGAGGGUGGUGGAAUUCCCGGUGUAGCGGUGAAAUGCGUAGAGAUCGGGAGGAACAUCAGUGGCGAAGGCGGCCACCUGGGACAACACUGACGCUGAGGCACGAAAAGCGUGGGGAGCAAACAGGAUUAGAUACCCUGGUAGUCCACGCCCUAAAACGAUGCGAACUGGAUGUUGGUCUCAACUCGGAGAUCAGUGUCGAAGCUAACGCGUUAAGUUCGCCGCCUGGGGAGUACGGUCGCAAGACU
RNAcentral lists this ribosomal RNA (552 nucleotides) under uncultured bacterium. Its description in RNAcentral is "partial 16S ribosomal RNA". It matches the Rfam family "Bacterial small subunit ribosomal RNA", at positions 355 to 895 of the family's 1533-position model. The record is from RNAcentral.